Molecule: long non-coding RNA, 646 nt
Filed under: Homo sapiens (human)
Lineage: Eukaryota; Metazoa; Chordata; Mammalia; Primates; Hominidae
Description: HSALNT0387684
Source: RNAcentral
AAUGGGAAUGUGUGUGAUGUCUAAAGUGAUUUGAUUUUGUGACUACUGCGGUGCUCAGCUGAACACAACUCCUGAUUUGGAAGACAGACUUCUCGUUCCUGCUGCUGAGGAUUCUUCUUUACCAGUUUUAACAGGAAUGAGUGUUUAUGUGAACAUCUCUUGAGAGACCCACACUGUGGAAGAUACUUACAAGACUGGGUUAUAUUUCUGGAAGAGCAAAUUCAUCUCUUGUCUCUCCAGAAGACUGACUUAUUCCCCCACAUUUAUCCCAGACAAGAAAAUGACUCAGUAUUUCAUUCAAGCUAAAUUUGAGCAGAACUAAGUUCCUUUUCAGGAACCCUCCCCAGCUUCUCUGAUGAGCACUUGUCAUGUUUGGAGAAACUGCCCACCUGAAGCAAAUAAAAACUUACAACACUGGACAUCUUUGAUGCAGCCCCAGAUAAAUGUUGUGCUGGGAUUUCUUGGAGAGCAGGUAUCCUGGGAGUAUACAGCAGCCUUGUCUCCAAGGAAAGACAUGCAGGAAGCACUGAGAGUAGAGGAAGGAACAGACGCUGGCUCACAGAGCCAUGGAGAUGUUUAAGUGAGGUACUGCUCGUGAACCGCCCCCGGGCUUGGCCUCAAGAAGCUGUAACUGCUGUGACCUUUU